RNAcentral lists this non-coding RNA (114 nucleotides) under Thiocapsa sp. KS1. RNAcentral describes it as "Glycine". It matches the Rfam family "Glycine riboswitch aptamer". From Rfam's summary of the family: This family represents the bacterial glycine riboswitch. Glycine riboswitches usually consist of two metabolite-binding aptamers domains with similar structures in tandem. The record is from RNAcentral. Lineage: Bacteria; Pseudomonadati; Pseudomonadota; Gammaproteobacteria; Chromatiales; Chromatiaceae.
CGACUCUGGAGAGCGGUCCGGACUGCACCGACAGUCGGGACCCACCGAAGGGGCAGCAGCGACCGACGCGUUCGGUCGCCUGCAAACUCUCAGGUCUGGGACAGAGGGGCGGUG